CUCUGAGUCACAAACCCUGGGGAACCCGGGCUGCAGGGUCGGAGAGCCAGGCGCUGGGACCCCCUCUGCAGGUCUAGGGGUCUAUCCCAGCCUGACGCCCCAGCCAUGGGCAGAGCCCUGCCGCCACAGCAGGACACCAGGGAAGGGGAGCUCCCGGCUCAGGGCCCACCCUGGAGAGCAGGGGGUCCUGCCACGCUGAGGGUCCUGAUCCUCGCCCUGCUCUGGAGGGGGUCCCUGUCCCAGAAGCCCAAAUUUAUCCUGAUGGUGCCACAGUCGGUUUCGGUGCAGGAGGGUCUCUGCGUUCUCGUCCCCUGCAACUUCACGUACUCAGCCUCGUACAACACCGACAAUU
Long non-coding RNA from Mauremys reevesii (Reeves's turtle), 352 nucleotides. RefSeq lists it as uncharacterized. NCBI's taxonomy places the organism in Eukaryota, Metazoa, Chordata, Testudines, Geoemydidae. The transcript is spliced from 3 exons. The record is from RefSeq and is a predicted model, not a curated record.